GGUUUGUGGCUCAGUGGUAGAGCGCUCACCUUUCAUGUGCGAGGCCCUGAGUUCCAUCCUCAACACCA
This 68-nucleotide transfer RNA is filed under the name Marmota monax (woodchuck). RNAcentral's name for it is "tRNA.Glu". The stretch from base 5 to 65 matches the Rfam family "tRNA", at positions 6 to 65 of the family's 71-position model. Rfam says of the family: Transfer RNA (tRNA) molecules are approximately 80 nucleotides in length. Their secondary structure includes four short double-helical elements and three loops (D, anti-codon, and T loops). Lineage: Eukaryota; Metazoa; Chordata; Mammalia; Rodentia; Sciuridae. The record is from RNAcentral.